UUAUUUCUCACAUCUGUAGCUCCAAUUUUCUGUUUCAGAAACCUACUAUUGACUUUCUCAUCUGCUGUGUGUAGAGGACAGAAAACGAUCUGUGGCCAAGGAACAGCUAAAUAAGAGAGAUUGGGUCCACCUUCCUGAUGAAUGUGAUGUAAUGUUUAAAAAGCACCUCUUUCAUUCCUAAAGACUGAGUAGGAUGACACUUAGAAAAUAAUCCCUUGAGGUUAGAUUUAGGACCUUGGAAAAGUUCCACCUAACCAUGUCCUCUGUACCAUUUUCAUUUGAUUAUUAUUUGGAUACAUUUUCACUUACUUUAAGCCUUUCCCUUGUAAUUACUUAUUCCAAGAUUUGUAAAUCAGUGGCAAAAGAAUUGUUGGCCAACAUUUUGCCUCCUUUAUACAAAUGAUCCUUUUUAAUUAUAUGACUCCCAUUUAAACUGGCUCUAUGUGGCCAAUAUGAUCUUAGUUUACGAUUGUGCAAGAACUGUUUUGCGAUGUUUCUGACACUGAAUUUGGGCCUUUUCUUCUCUUCCAUGCAGCUCACCUUUUCUCUUUGUUGAAGUCAUCUGAGAAAGGUGGAGAGGCUUACAGAAACCCUUGGCCAUAGCUACCACUGAAGGCCGCGUCGGCUGCACAGUCUGCUGUGGUUUUAAGGAGACGCUCGGUGGAUUCCUGACGGGACCGGUGAACGCGGUCCCUUCCGGAGGUCAGGCUUUAGAAAGCCGCGGGUCUGAGAGGCAUCCGAGGGGCCUGAACAAAGGCAGCAGGGAGGUCCGGCAGCCCUUGCUGAGGUGCGGCGGGGACCAUGCAGCAACCAGCAGUCAGCAGCUGCUCCUGAUCCCGGGCUUGAAUGAUUCCGGGGCCUCCGUGGGCCGCUCCUGCACAAAAACCUGCGCCAUCACCUGGCUGUGCGAGGCCUCCUGUGUUUGCUCCCCUAGUUCCUGUCUGCACAGGGACAGCAGAGGGCUGGUCAGCAUGACACCCAUAGACAGCAGUAGCUGCCUCCUUGGAGCACUUGACAUUCAGACCAGCAUGGCUCUUGUAGUCCCUGGGGGCCCACGUGUCCUGAGCCCAGUCCCUGGCCAGGCCGAGUCUGCUUUUGCUCAAAUAUAAUCUUUAGAAGCUUGUCCUUGAGGGAUGCCUGCAGGAAAAAGUCAAUGAUCUCCCACUCAGAGCAGAGGGAAGAAAUCUCCUCCAGGGACUUGAUCUUCAUGAGCUUGACCAGGUGGCUGAGGAUGGUGAGAGGGUCCCCUUCUUGCCCUCAGCCUCGCUGCCCCAGGGCUCCUGAACCUCCCCAUGUCCUUGGAUCAUCUAUCAUCUGGGGUUUUGCUGGGGAAUACUAUGGAGAUAUCUCAUUGUACUAUAUUUAAAUGUAGGUUCCUAGAUUAUCGUGAUGACAGCUAACUUGUCAGUACUUAACCUAAAGAGGAAGAACUUUCUGAUGUAAGUCAUUUCUCUAAUAAUCUUGAGGUAGUAAAAAUAUCAAGAUUUUUAAAAGUUAUACAGUGCUAAGAUUCAGAUUUUAAUGGCCUAAUUUAUGUCUCUCUCAUGUGCAUGAUUUAUACAAGCAUUCCUCACUCUCAUUGUCUUUGGGAUGCAGUGUGGACCCCACACCUCUUCCCUCCAGCUCCCUGCAGUAGAACAUUUCCUCCUCUUAAAGUGAAAGAAAUUGUAUACCCAGGGCCCCCUCUGCAGCACAGUGUCAUCUGACUCAUCUUAUCACACCACUGAUUUUCCACAGAGGGACCACUGUUGAAUAAAUAUUUUCCACUCCAUCUACAUUUCCUGGUUCCUAAAGCUCUUUUCUCUCUGAGAACAAAAAUAUUGCUUGGUUAAGACACCAUGCUCUAUUUCAAACCAGUGUGCCACCAAAUUUUGUCUAUUUGAAUAUCUUUUAAAAGACAAACUACCCAUAUUAAAAUAUUACUCACAUGACCAAAAAUGGACCAGGUACCUUCUCAGUCAGCUGAUGAUUUUACUAAGUGUUCAAAAGGCCCCUUUGUAAUUGUACUCCUUUUAGAAACAUAACCUUUAAGCUGCUUUCUAAACAUUGUCUAAUACCUUUACCAAAGUGAGUAUACAUAUAUAAAAGUAUAUUUAUAUUUGCAACAUUCGUAUUUUCCAACUGGAGAAACUGUGAGUUUGAUUUGUUACUAUAUUAAUGAUAACCCUUAUAAAUGAUUAGGUAGGUCUCAGAGAAGCCAUACCCCUUCAAGACAUGCAUAACUAAACAAACACCAGCAGCAAUCACAUUAACUCCAACCCUGGGUACCAUUACCAUCUGCUACUACUGAGCUGAACCUGAUAGCUAUGUUUAUUCCCACUUUAAAGAUGAGCUACCUGCAGCUGAGCACAUUUCAAUGACUUCGUCAAGGUCAAAGGACAUAUUUAAAACAGAAGCAGAGAGAGAUACUAAUUUUUCUGACUUUCAAGAGUGCAUAUUUGGGUAUCAAGUACUAUGUUACAUCAAGAUUUUGAAAUAUUAACAAAAUUUGCUUCUUAUCAAAACAAAAUAGAUAUUUGUACAAAAUAUCACAUUAAAAAUUUUGGGUAUCAAUCCUAACAAUCCUAAUGUCUCAAUCCAUGAAUUCAUGACUGUUUUCCUCAUCCUCCAAAACUUCGAGAUCCUGGGGCUGGGGAUUUAGCUCAGCGGCAAAAGCGCCUGCCUGGCAAGCGCAAGGUCAUGAGUUCGGUUCCCGGUACCGGA
Long non-coding RNA from Chinchilla lanigera (long-tailed chinchilla), 2703 nucleotides. The record is from Ensembl. Lineage: Eukaryota; Metazoa; Chordata; Mammalia; Rodentia; Chinchillidae.